Molecule: non-coding RNA, 222 nt
Filed under: Paenibacillus sp.
Lineage: Bacteria; Bacillati; Bacillota; Bacilli; Caryophanales; Paenibacillaceae
Description: T-box sequence
Rfam family: T-box leader
About the family: Uncharged tRNA acts as the effector for transcription antitermination of genes in the T-box leader family. T-boxes are found upstream of many aminoacyl-tRNA synthetase genes and some amino acid biosynthetic genes usually in Gram-positive bacteria.
Source: RNAcentral
GAUGGCACGAUGAAAGAGCGAAGUAGCAAUUUUGUCCCUGUUUUCAGAAAGCCGGGGGUUGAUGCGACCCGGUACAAACACAAUUGCGAAUUACACUCUGGAGGAUCUUAGGUAAUGCUAAGCGGAUUGGCAAUCGAUAUCAUUGCCGAGAGUGGUAUUAACGGUGACUGCAGCGCCGUUAAUGCAAUUUGGGUGGUAACACGGUUAAUAAUCGUCCCUAUA